GACGAACGCUGGCGGCGUGCCUAAUACAUGCAAGUAGAACGCUGAAGGAGGAGCUUGCUUCUCUGGAUGAGUUGCGAACAGGUGAGUAACGCGUAGGUAACCUGCCUGGUAGCGGGGGAUAACUAUUGGAAACGAUAGCUAAUACCGCAUAAUAGCAGUUGUUGCAUGACAACUGUUUGAAAGGUGCAAUUGCACCACUACCAGAUGGACCUGCGUUGUAUUAGCUAGUUGGUGGGGUAACGGCUCACCAAGGCGACGAUACAUAGCCGACCUGAGAGGGUGAUCGGCCACACUGGGACUGAGACACGGCCCAGACUCCUACGGGAGGCAGCAGUAGGGAAUCUUCGGCAAUGGACGGAAGUCUGACCGAGCAACGCCGCGUGAGUGAAGAAGGUUUUCGGAUCGUAAAGCUCUGUUGUAAGAGAAGAACGAGUGUGAGAGUGGAAAGUUCACACUGUGACGGUAUCUUACCAGAAAGGGACGGCUAACUACGUG
This 495-nucleotide ribosomal RNA is filed under the name uncultured bacterium. Its description in RNAcentral is "partial 16S ribosomal RNA". It matches the Rfam family "Bacterial small subunit ribosomal RNA", at positions 28 to 507 of the family's 1533-position model. The record is from RNAcentral.